RNAcentral lists this ribosomal RNA (495 nucleotides) under uncultured bacterium. RNAcentral's name for it is "partial 16S ribosomal RNA". It matches the Rfam family "Bacterial small subunit ribosomal RNA", at positions 28 to 506 of the family's 1533-position model. The record is from RNAcentral.
GAUGAACGCUGGCGGCGUGCCUAAUACAUGCAAGUCGAGCGAACGGACGAGAAGCUUGCUUCUCUGAUGUUAGCGGCGGACGGGUGAGUACACGUGGAUAACCUACCUAUAAGACUGGGAUAACUUCGGGAAACCGGAGCUAAUACCGGAUAAUAUUUUGAACCGCAUGGUUCAAAAGUGAAAGACGGUCUUGCUGUCACUUAUAGAUGGAUCCGCGCUGCAUUAGCUAGUUGGUAAGGUAACGGCUUACCAAGGCAACGAUGCAUAGCCGACCUGAGAGGGUGAGCGGACACACUGGAACUGAGACACGGUCCAGACUCCUACGGGAGGCAGCAGUAGGGAAUCUUCCGCAAUGGGAGAAAGCCUGACGGAGCAACGCCGCGUGAGUGAUGAAGGUCUUCGGAUCGUAAAACUCUGUUAUUAGGGAAGAACAUAUGUGUAAGUAACUGUGCACAUCUUGACGGUACCGAAUCAGAAAGCAACGGCUAACUACGU